RNAcentral lists this ribosomal RNA (305 nucleotides) under uncultured bacterium. RNAcentral's name for it is "bacterial SSU rRNA". It matches the Rfam family "Bacterial small subunit ribosomal RNA", at positions 335 to 656 of the family's 1533-position model. The record is from RNAcentral.
UAUCCUGCGGGGGGCAGCAGUGGGGGAUAUUGCACAAUGGGGGAAACCCUGAUGCAGCGACGCCGCGUGAGCGAAGAAGUAUUUCGGUACGUAAAGCUCUAUCAGCAGGGAAGAAUAAUGACGGUACCUGACUAAGAAGCCCCGGCUAACUACGUGCCAGCAGCCGCGGUAAUACGUAGGGAGCAAGCGUUGUCCGGAUUUACUGGGUGUAAAGGGUGCGUAGGCGGGAACACAAGUCAGGCGUGAAAUACCGGGGCUCAACUCCGGGGCUGCGCUUGAAACUGUGUUUCUUGAGUGAAGUAGAG